GCAAAUUCUUCAGACUGUCGAAAUGUUUCAGAAUUUGUGAAGUACCAGAAGUAUACGAAGUAUACAGAUUGCUACAGACUGGUCUCCUGUUAACAGAUUAUGUUUUUGCUGAGUUGGUUGCUUAUUUUGAUGAAACUAUGGAUAGUAUCAGGGGGUAUUAUCCAUGUAAGAUUGAAAAUACAGUAAUCCAACAUCAACAU
RNAcentral lists this long non-coding RNA (200 nucleotides) under Hordeum vulgare. RNAcentral's name for it is "long non-coding RNA (HVUL_LNC005306)". The record is from RNAcentral. Lineage: Eukaryota; Viridiplantae; Streptophyta; Magnoliopsida; Poales; Poaceae.